RNAcentral lists this non-coding RNA (28 nucleotides) under Rattus norvegicus (Norway rat). Lineage: Eukaryota; Metazoa; Chordata; Mammalia; Rodentia; Muridae. The record is from RNAcentral.
UAUAAUAAUAUUAGAAGGGAUGGCCUGA